GGAACACAAGGACCCGAAUUUUCUCUUCCCCUCAGAUCGUCCAUAGGAGUACAGUCAUCUCACCAAGAGCCGAUUGGCACUGAGGGCAUAAGCAGGUCCUUGAACACCAAAGUGGAUCCGUCACAAGUCCUUGAGCUAACUGCCUUUUCCCCUUAUUUACGGUAAGAAAGAGCCCCUCACUCCUGGCCUUGGUUUUUUGUGUUGACCUUUAAAAGCUUCUUGACAUCUUUAUAUUUCUAAUGGAAAAUAACAAAACAAAAACCCAAACCAACCAGGUAAUCAUGACAUUGAAAUUUUCAACAUAAGCCGAGCGGAUCAAUAGGAAAGACUGUGUUUGGCAGCUGAAUUUAGGUCAGUGUGGUUUUACAAAAAUGGCUUCUGUACAAGGGGAGAGGUUGAGCUGUCAUGAACUCUGGAGAUGUGUCAACUGACAACACCAGACUGACUUUGGCUUUGACGAAGUCUGAAUAGAAUUGGUUCCAAAUGCCCACUGCCUCCGUCUCCUGUGGGGUGUGGCAGGACGUCUCACAGUGAGCACACGCCAUUUGGGAGCUCAUGGUAUGUGGUCGGUUUGGCCCAGUGCUGCCAAGAGUUGGCAACACCAGCUCAGUUCAGCCGGUGUUUUGCAAACAAACAUCACUUUGGAGAUACAGACAUGAGCUGCCCACUGCAGCCAGGUGGGCUGGGCACAGCCAACCCCUUCAAGGGCCAGGGCUGGCCUCCCAAGCCAAGGUUUUCCCUUACCAGUGAGGCAGGCUCUGCACUUACACUGCGGGAGCAGGGAUGCGGGGCUGGCUUGUGGAAGGUAGGUUAGGCAUCGAGUGGCUACACAUACAGGAGAGUGGAAACAUAAAACUGUACAAAGUCACACUUGGCACACAGUUGAUAUAGUCACAGCUGGAGCUACUAGGGCUUUCUAAGGGCACACUCAGCAGUUCUUACCAAUGAUGUUUUCUUGCCCAGUUGUGAAUAAGCCAUAGGUAGAAGCUCCUGGAGGCUUCUGGUUGAUUGUCUUGCAGGGCUGUCCUACUAGAACUGGGAUCCUAGACCUAACACUGCAAAUAACAGUUCUGUUUCUAACAUCUAACACCAUGCUACUAAUUUACCCUGGACUCCGGCCAGGCACAGAUUUCUAUAUAUUCACAAUACAAUUCAGGAUAUUUUGAUAAUAUUUGGAAACAUGCCUCAAACAUGCAACUUACUUCAGAGGAAAAAAAUAGAUAUUUUUAAUUACAAGCAUUCAAAAGUCAAGAACAAAAACUGUGAUCCAAACCAGUGUAAGAUCGUCCAUCCCAGCAUACUUAAAAUGUUUGGUAUAAAAAUACUCACUUUUCUUGGUUUUAUUGUUGACUUCUCUUACGUUUCGUUUGAAAAUAUCUCCAAACUGUACAGAAAUUUCAGACCAUGCAUUCACA
This 1415-nucleotide long non-coding RNA is filed under the name Homo sapiens (human). RNAcentral describes it as "non-protein coding lnc-GTF2E2-2:1". Lineage: Eukaryota; Metazoa; Chordata; Mammalia; Primates; Hominidae. The record is from RNAcentral.